GACGAACGCUGGCGGCGUGCUUAACACAUGCAAGUCGAACGGAAAGGCCCUGCUUUUGUGGGGUGCUCGAGUGGCGAACGGGUGAGUAACACGUGAGUAACCUGCCCUUGACUUUGGGAUAACUUCAGGAAACUGGGGCUAAUACCGGAUAGGAGCUCCUGCUGCAUGGUGGGGGUUGGAAAGUUUCGGCGGUUGGGGAUGGACUCGCGGCUUAUCAGCUUGUUGGUGGGGUAGUGGCUUACCAAGGCUUUGACGGGUAGCCGGCCUGAGAGGGUGACCGGCCACAUUGGGACUGAGAUACGGCCCAGACUCCUACGGGAGGCAGCAGUGGGGAAUAUUGUACAAUGGGCGGAAGCCUGAUGCAGCAACGCCGCGUGCGGGAUGACAGCCUUCGGGUUGUAAACCGCUUUCGCCUGUGACGAAGCGUGAGUGGCGGUAAUGGGUAAAGAAGCACCGGCUAACUACGUG
This 468-nucleotide ribosomal RNA is filed under the name uncultured bacterium. Its description in RNAcentral is "partial 16S ribosomal RNA". It matches the Rfam family "Bacterial small subunit ribosomal RNA", at positions 28 to 507 of the family's 1533-position model. The record is from RNAcentral.